Molecule: long non-coding RNA, 5650 nt
Organism: Hylaeus volcanicus
Lineage: Eukaryota; Metazoa; Arthropoda; Insecta; Hymenoptera; Colletidae
Exons: 3
Source: RefSeq, a predicted model, not a curated record
AUCAACAAUGGAAGCAUCAUUAAAGCGCCAUUAUCGACAAUGCAUAACGAAAUUUAAAAGCAUAGCGUCAGUCACAUUCUAUUUUACGCUGUCUGUGUUGCUUUGCAGGUUUCAAGGUGUUUUAUAACGAAGGAAGAAUGUCUGGAGAUUCGUGCUCUAAAUUUUCGCACUAAAAGUUCUAAAUAAAGCUUAGAGUGGAAAACGGAUUACCAACGGGUCGUGUCGGUUUCGUCGUUCCAUUGAUUUUUAGUGUAAACGUCGCGAUUAUGAACAUUUCGUAGAAACCACUGGAGAAGGUCAAAACGGAGACAGGCAAAGCACUUAUUUAGAUAAAUCCAUUAUUUAAUCGAUGUCGCCUCAUCGUGAACGAAGAUCGAAUUCUACGCCACUUUUCACUACCAGUUUCUGCCAGCUUUCGGGAACUUUUACCACGCGACGGUUAGGGCCAGGCGUCGCGCUAUGUCGCCGGCUGUACUACUGAAAUUCGACUUUAGAACAGCAAACCUCUUCAACGUAGAAAUGUUCUUCUGGCACAGGUAAAUAGGUUUCGCUGAAAUUUCAUUGUAAUCUCUUUCGAGAGUCUGCGUUUUUUUUUUUCAAUCGUUUUUAGAAUGGGAGAUCGAUGGCUGAAAUCACUUCAAUUUUUGUAGGUACACCAAGGAUGUUUUACCGUGAACAAAAUCCUUGACAUCUAGGCCAAACGUGAUCGAUGUGGCGCGAAAUGACUCGUACACGAUUUUCUUUGACCUCCUCGCCACAAAAUCUUGCAUUUCGAUCCUCCGAAGACCACGCUCCAUUAGUUCCUCUUUUCUCUAUUUGUCGUAAUGGUACUCCGCGAUGAAUGUUCAUCGUAAGAGGAAGUUCUUUAUUGGAUGCGACGAUUAAUCCAAUGAUGAAUGCUCAUAAAAUGUUGCUCCUCGAGAACGAAUAUACCAGUCUCAGUGUCAGUCGCAAUUGAAAUUCAGACCUAACGCGGGGCAAUCUCCUUUAUUAUGCUAAAUUUUCGUGGCUUGGAAUUCAAUCUAAUCUGCUCCACUUUUCUCUAAUUUGAACCGUUCUAACGUAGUACCGAAUUAAUUUAGCCUACCUAAGCUCAAUCUCAAACCUCGUCAAAUUUUGAUAGAAAUUGGUCUCGAUGGUAGUAUGAUAAUCCCAUUUUAAUAGCCAAGAUACCAAGUUACAUAUAUAUAAAAUAAUUUUAUUGUAUAUUUAUGGAUGUCAAAGCGACUCCAAGGAACGUCUCCAACACACGAAAGCUCUCACGAUGAAAGAAGAAUUUCCAGAAAGAAAGUCAAUCCUGUCGUACACACAGAAUGAAUAUUUAAACGAAGACCAUUCUGGGAUACUAAAAGUGUCCCCAGACUUCAAACCGACUUUACCUCGUCUCGUAAACGGUUUAGGGAGAACUAAUCAAGUUAAGAAACUUUCUUUCUGCAAAGGCGAACUUCGACAGCCGGUAUCGAGAUGAUAAAUCGUGUUACGAACUCUUUUUUUUUUUUUAUGCUAGACCGUUCGGUGCUUUGAGGAAAGGUCGCGGUGGACGAUCUUUCCAUGCUAUUUGCCUGAAAAAUGUUUCUCUCUCGGAUUCGAGUCGGUGGCUCGAAGGAGCUCAUCGCUCAUCGAACAGCUCUCUUCGUUUCUUAUCCGCGUGGUUUUUACAAUAAAAGCAAUACUCCCUCCACGGUCAUAAAUUUCGAACAGAUCGGUCGCGCAUUUACGGUUUCCUGUUGGACGUUUCGCCUAGACGAAUAAAGCGGGAGGGUUUUCGUCGAAACGACGAGGAGCACGUAACCUUUGCGAUACGAAUCUUGAAUUUCGUCUCGUUAGGUGAAAUGAACCGUCUGUUCCACUGGAGACGUUUCUUCUUGAACGGACCAGCGCGAUCACUCCGCGAAUUAAAUUCGAUUCUCUGGAGAAACAUUCUUGGCAUUCGCGUUUCCUAUCGAGGGGAUUGAGAUAAAGUAUAAAAUAUACGUGUAAUUAUUAGACUGCGAAUUUGAUGCAUUUAUGAUACAAGGCUAAUAUAGUACAUGUGCACUUAUGCAAAACGAAACAAUAUUAUUAUAUUAAUCGUAGAAUAUAUUCAACAUACAUUAUGUAUAUUUUUUGCUUGUUGUAUUACUCUACCAUAUUACUGUACCAUAAUACGUAAGUGUAUAAAAUCCGCAGUCUAAUAAUUAUUAAAAGUAUAAACGAUAACCCCUUAUCGUCAACGUAAAAAUGAUAUAAAAAUGCUCUUUUAAUUCUUGUAACGAAAAUGGCUCAGGAAAUGGUAUCUAUAGAGAAAUAAUUCUAAAAGUGGUUGUAUAAGGUGAACAGAAACCUCGCGGUAUGUAAUCAAUCCAAACCGUUCGUGAAUUCAGGGUCGAUUUCAUGUUUAAAUAACGCGAUUGCAGCAGUAAUUGGUAGAAACUGCGAAGAAACUCGUUUUCGGAGCUACUCCAAAGUCUAUUCCGCCUUGGAUUUACGAUAAUAGUUAUUCUAGUGUUAUCGUUUGAAAUUUGCAUCCCGGAGGUAAGAGGUAAAAAUAAAUGAAAGAAGGAAGUUCAUCGUUGUACUUUCUGGAGCAAUUUGUUUCCGAACAUUCGGUUGCCACUGAUCAAUAUUGAUAUCAUCGCUGGCGAAUUACAACUGUGGAUGAAGUUUAAAUCCAAUUCUUCCUAACGAGGUACAUGGGUAGAGUCUUAAUUAAAAUCUUCAUUACGUACGCCAUGUUCGCUGCAUAACAAGUCCCCCGCAAGGAAUACAUGUGUAAUCAGCUUACUGUCCUAACGGGCACACGAUCACGAGGAAUACCUAAAUACAAGGUAAUGACUAAUGGUAGGAAGAGUAUACUUGGGAAUUUUAGAAAAUAUCUAAAGAUACCUAAUAUGUGGUAAAGUAAACAAGACUAAUUAUUCUUUAAAGAAGAAAGUCUUCAGGUUGAAAGUGACUCCUCACCUUGGAUUAGAAAAUUCUAAAAUGUUUAGGGUUCGCCAAGUUCUCAGCUGUACAUAUUCUGCUAGAUUUGUCCAACGAGAAUCAAGAAGCUCGUCUUUGAGGCGGUAGACAAAUUAUUUUGUUAAGCCUUACAAACGAGCAGAGAUAACCCACCGUCUUCGGGUAAUCCCCUGAAAACGAAGCACAGAUUAAAUAGGUAAAGCCAGCGGCUCGGUGUUCUUAAUUUCGACAGGAGCUCCGUUGAGCUCUGAUUCGUUUGUUGAGAAUUCAAGACAACUGCUUUGCUUCCUCUCCAGCAACCACAUAAUUAACCAAUUUUGUUGUUUAACCCUCUAUUGUAUAAUACGACCAAUUGAGAAUCCAAUAAGAACGGUCCACGUACAGUUUGCUGAGAAAGUUUCAUAACAUUUCUAGCACAGCUUUUUAUUUUUUCAUUUGAGUAUCGAGUCACUCAUCGUAAUUAUCUCCUUUUUAAUAAUAAUAUAAAAUUAACGGGAUUCUGGAUGGUGGUUAUGAAAUGGUGGAACUAAGUAAUUAAUGGUGAUCCAAGUAAACAUUAUUUACGAUAAACUGGGUUUACUUUUUAUACAAUUUUGAGCUGAAUUAAAUAGGCACUGUCCGCUAUCGCCUUGAAUAUUCGCUUAUAUAAAUAUUGAAAUAUUGGUACUAAUAUACACAUUAGUACAUAUCGUUUUGAAUGUAAAUAUUCCUGAUACUUGUAAGUCUGAUACAGGUGUAAGACUAUUAACCGUAUUCCUCACGGUGCAAUUACCGCGGAACGCAAUGAAGAUUUUAAUUAAGACUCCGCUGAUCUGCCUCGUUUGAGAGAAAAGCAACUUUGAUUUUUAUUUUAUUGACGUAAAUUUAACUUGAAGCGAACCGGUGUGAAACAUUUUAAUGCCCUGUCAAUUCGUAGACACGACGCUGCAUGGUAUCGAUAAACAGGAUACUCCAAAGUUUCAUUAAAAAUUGCUAGGAAAUCUUCCAUGGAAAAUAUUAUACUCCACUUUCGACCGUAGCGAAAGAACGAAUAUUUCUCGACGAUUUUUACAAAGUUACCGCGUACGCGUAGUAAACGUUAUUUUUAUUUCAAUGUUUCCAUUGACGUUGAUUAUGUAUUACAGAAAGAGCAAAUAUAAUCACGCGUUUAAUAGGUUUCUGAUUUAUUUAUCUUUCGUGCAAUAUUCAUCGUUACUGCAAAUAUUGCGAAUCGACGAAAAGGCGAUAUUGAAAAGCAUUCGUUGCCUUCGAAAAGUGUGUUCAUAUUAAACAAUUACGAAGAUCAAUGUCGAAUUCCAACUUUCGUUCGUCGUUUUCUCAAAAAUAAAUUGCUUCGAAAGCAACGUUUUUUUUUCAAAAGGCUCAAUAAAUAACAAAAUAUUUGAGAGAUAUUGUUUCUAUAUGGCGAUUCAAACAAAAGCAUCGAUAGAUUUAACUUUACAUGCAUUAAAGUUCGGUAUCUAUGUAUAUAGGGCCCAAGCUAAAUUCGUCGAUACUCGUUUUAGGUCAUCCUCCAUAUUCAAACAGAUUUGCUUUCGGAAUUUUCCAAAGUCUAUUUUUCCUUCAGAUUUAUCGUCCGUUUUCAUCCUCGUCAUCUCGAACUCGUAAUCUCGGUCACGCAAUCCUUUUACGUACGCCAUUACCAUCGUCGACUUUAUUUUCCCAUGGAGAAACAUGAAAUAUAGCGCAAGCAUAGAACAAAGAUGUAGAAUUUCCGUGCAUUAAACUUACCAAUGAGAGCUAAUCUUUAUUAACGCGAGAACAUUCAUGGGAGAAACUUCUCUAUGUUUAUGAUACUUCGUGCAAUUGAAGAAUAUCUUUUCUCUGGCGAUAAGCUUUAUGCAAAUGAGAUUAACGUAAAGCCCCGUUCGGGUUAUAGGGAGGAACUACAAGAGAUACGAGAUAUGGUGGUUUUAGUGUUAAUAUAAAACAGCAUCAAUUUGAAACCUCUCGAUAUAAAAAUCACAAUAUUUAAUAGAUAGCUUCGAUAAGGUUUCCAGAAAAGUUCGUAUUUCGAUAUUCCAAUUACUUUUUGAGUAUUUAAUUAAAACGUCCAUGGAAAUGUGUAAAAUUUGACGAGUUCACCGCCGGAUUCUAUAUAAUUAUUACAUCAACCGGACGUGUCUCGAAAACCAUUAAUGUCACCCAAGUUGCGAUAAAUUUUACAAUAAUCCAUAUCCAUACUAAUUGUGAAACCGAGCGGCGGAUGUUCCUCUGUAACGACAUCGAUUAAAAACGGCUUACUAACGAAAGUUUGUAAUUAUCUUUGGAAAGGAUUAGAACAGAUUUUAGCAAAGACCUAAUUUCGAAAUUCCAAUUAUUUCUCCAAGCGAUUAAUCGAAUACGUCCCAACAAAACAUACGCGAAUUAACGUAUUCCCUGGUCAACUUUACGUAAUUAAUUCAAUCAAUCUGCCGUACGUCAUAAACGAUUUGCGUUCUCCGAAUGCAAUAAAUUUUCCAGUAAUCUGGCAUAAAUGAGUAAAUAGAAUAUGCAAGGUUCGAUACCGUCGCACGACGAUAAGUAUUUAUCUGAAAUCCGCGAUAGAAAUCGACUUUUCAAUGAGAAUUCGGUUGGCCAAUCAUUCAAUAUGAAUACAUUUUUAAAAAAAUUUAUGUUUUGUUAAAGAUAAUUUAUGUAUACUUCGUACUAUAUUCCUCAUGUUUUACAUCUUUUAUUACAUCUACAUGUUUGAAAUUCGUUGAUUAAU